RNAcentral lists this ribosomal RNA (424 nucleotides) under uncultured bacterium. RNAcentral describes it as "bacterial SSU rRNA". It matches the Rfam family "Bacterial small subunit ribosomal RNA", at positions 359 to 775 of the family's 1533-position model. The record is from RNAcentral.
GAAUUUUCGGCAAUGGACGAAAGUCUGACCGAGCAAUGCCGCGUGAACGAUGAAGGUCUUCGGAUUGUAAAGUUCUGUUGUAAGGGAAGAAUAGUAUAAUCAGGAAAUGGGUUAUAUGUGACGGUACCUUACUAGAAAGCCCCGGCUAACUAUGUGCCAGCAGCCGCGGUAAUACAUAGGGGGCAAGCGUUAUCCGGAAUUAUUGGGCGUAAAGAGUGCGUAGGUGGUUUAUUAAGUCUGGUGUGAAAUUUCACGGCUUAACUGUGAAGGGUCAUUGGAAACUGGUAAACUUGAGUACGGUAGAGGUAAGUGGAAUUCCAAGUGGAGCGGUGGAAUGCGUAGAUAUUUGGAGGAACACCAAUGGCGAAGGCAGCUUACUGGGCCGGGACUGACACUGAUGCACGAAAGCGUGGGGAGCAAACAG